RNAcentral lists this ribosomal RNA (206 nucleotides) under uncultured bacterium. RNAcentral's name for it is "partial 16S ribosomal RNA". It matches the Rfam family "Bacterial small subunit ribosomal RNA", at positions 568 to 774 of the family's 1533-position model. The record is from RNAcentral.
AGCGUAGGCGGAUUUUUAAGUGAGAUGUGAAAUACUCGGGCUUAACCUGAGUGCUGCAUUUCAAACUGGAAGUCUAGAGUGCAGGAGAGGAGAAGGGAAUUCCUAGUGUAGCGGUGAAAUGCGUAGAGAUUAGGAAGAACACCAGUGGCGAAAGCGCUUCUCUGGACUGUAACUGACGCUGAGGCUCGAAAGCGUGGGAGCAAACA